Long non-coding RNA from Lotus japonicus, 1515 nucleotides. RefSeq lists it as uncharacterized. The record is from RefSeq and is a predicted model, not a curated record. The transcript is spliced from 4 exons. NCBI's taxonomy places the organism in Eukaryota, Viridiplantae, Streptophyta, Magnoliopsida, Fabales, Fabaceae.
UUACGUUUUGCUUUUCCUUCCGUUUCCAUUCAUCCAGCUUCUCGCGUUGCCCGUUUUAAUUCUUCCACCUCUUUUAAUCACGUCGCCCGUUUUCCCCUUUAUGGCUUCCGUUUUCCACCUCCUUCUCAGAUAGAGAGCUCGAUCAGUUGUCAAAGGAGACAUCUUUGAGGUGUCUCAUCUAUUGUCUCAAACACCUUCGCAGCCGUUUCGCACUCAGCAGCGUGAAAGAGAUGGAUCCAAGGGGAUUUGUGGCUCUUCCGACAGAAGAAGCUCCUUCGCAGCACAGGCAAGGCCGCGUGGAUUGUUGGAACCAUCUACUGUGUUCGUUUAAUUCUUUCGUUUGUCUGCCUCCUCUGCGACCUGCUGAUCGCCUCCGAUCCUCUGCACACUGUGAAAUAGGGUUUGGGCGCUCAGAAUGUGGAUGAGUUACCUUCUCCUCCCUUCUCCUUAUUUCUUUUUCCCACUUCUCCUUUAUCCCCUUUUCUUCGUUUCCUUUCUUUUAUAGUGUGCAUUGCAUUGUUGUUACUGUUGCUAUUGGCGUCUUUCCACAGAUUCUUUGAUUUUUUUUCCCUGUUUCUAUUUGCAGCAUAGGAUUGGACUGGACGACUGAAUUUGAUUGGAUCAAUUCUCUUCUUGGCAGAUUUGCUGCCUCACUAAUCUGUGCUACACAACUCUGAUGUGGGAUGAACGAAUAAUGGGUUGCUGGAAAUUAAAGGUUCUUGGCUCAAUAGUAUACAAUAUAAGAUCUAUAUUGGUUUGAUAGUCGUGUUGAAUCUUAUCUUCAUGACUUCAGGGAUUUGAAGUAGUGUUGCUGGACAAAGAAACCGAGGAACACACAUUGGUUCCUGCAGUGGAGUCUUUGUCAGGAAAGGACAUUGAAGGAGCAAGGAACUUACUGAGAAUCGCAAUCCAUGUUCUUUUGGUCAGGGCAGUGAACGUGGUGACUCUGGCAUCUGAUGAUCUGCUUGGUUUUCUUCCUCACAAUGAUCCUCUUCUCAUGAAAUGCAUAGACCCCAUGGGUGCUUUAGCCAGAUCAACUAUACAUUGGGCAGAAACAACAGCAAAGGGAACAACACCGGCAUCCCUUUGAGGCUCUGAGAAUAUCCAAGCCUCUCAAGUUAGAGGCAAAGAGGAGUUCAAAAUGGGUAGAUCUUGGAUGCUUUAAACUGGAGAGAUUUCAAUUUAACAGGACUGAGGUAGGCACAAAAUAAUUCAGAGUUUGGAUAUAUGGAGAGAGCAGCAACAUCGUGGGAUAUGGAUUUAACUAUUGCCAUCAAGAAAGGAUUGGAAUUUAGUGUGUAGUACCAUCGUGAUUACCUGUUCCUGUCCUCCCCCUAAAAAAAGAGAAUUUGUUGAGCUUUUUUAUUUUUUGUAUAGCUAUUGGUUGAGAUUUAAUCAGUGUAGUAUAAUAGAAAAAUGUAAUGAUCCUUAAUAAAAACUUUUGUGUUGUAUGAUGGAUGGUGUAUCAGAGUGUAUUGAUCCUUAUUGGUGAUAUUCAAAUAUUAUUUUGCACUA